UACGGAGGUGGCAAGCGUUGUUCGGAAUUACUGGGCGUAAAGGGCGCGUAGGCGGCAAGGCAAGUCAGGUGUGAAAGCCCCGAGCUUAACUCGGGAAUUGCAUCUGAAACUGCUGUGCUUGAGUUCUGGAGGGGGUAGUGGAAUUCCCAGUGUAGCGGUGAAAUGCGUAGAGAUGUGGAGGAACACCGAUGGCGAAGGCAGCCUUCUGGGCCAACACUGACGCUCAUGCACGAAAGCGUGGGGAGCAAACAGG
RNAcentral lists this ribosomal RNA (253 nucleotides) under uncultured bacterium. RNAcentral's name for it is "partial 16S ribosomal RNA". It matches the Rfam family "Bacterial small subunit ribosomal RNA", at positions 524 to 776 of the family's 1533-position model. The record is from RNAcentral.